Molecule: long non-coding RNA, 985 nt
Organism: Symphalangus syndactylus (siamang)
Lineage: Eukaryota; Metazoa; Chordata; Mammalia; Primates; Hylobatidae
Source: RefSeq, a predicted model, not a curated record
GGGUCCGUAGUGGGCGGGUCUGUAGUGAGGCGGGUCUUAAUGGGGCAGGUCCGUAGUGAGGCCAGUCUUAGGGGGGCGGGUCCGUACUGAAGCAGGUCCGUAAUGAAGCAGGGCCGUAGUGGAGCAGGUCUGUAGUGGAGCAGGUCCGUAGUGAGGCAGGUGUGCCAGGAUCUCAUGUGAACCUUUAAAGCCGCAGGCCUGACCUCCCUCCCACUCCCUCUGGAGCUGGAGCUUGUGUAAGGGCCGCGUCUCUGAUGGUCCUGGGCUUCCCAUCUCCAUGCCUGCUCGGAAACCCUGACAUCCGACGAGGAAAUGAUCACACAAUCCCACAGAAACCUGCCCAGCGGCUGGCGCCGUCACCCCAACCCUCCUCCCCCUGCAGCCCGGCUCUGCAGGGUGGGGUGUCCGUGCUUGAACCAGGAGACCCUCUUCCUGGCCGAUACUUUCCAGCCCCCUUGGCUCCAGGCUGAGCUCCCAGGAAAGGGGCAGACCCCACACACAGCUUCCCGCCAGCCUCUGCUGCCUGAGACCGUCCACUGCGCGCCAAGGCCUCCGUCCUCAUCCCCAAGCCCCCGCCAGUCUCUGUGGCUGCUUCCCAGGAGCUGCGCCGCUGACUUUUCCUGAGACACCUGCUCAUCUAUAUUCUAUGUUGCCUUCACCUGGGAAGAUUCAGCACCUCCCGAGCCUCCUGCCGCCCCUGAGAGAUUCCUAAAGCCUUCACCUCAUCACACACAGAACACGAAAACUUGAGCCACUUGGGGGAGAAAAAGUAGCUACUUAUAAAAAGUCAAGGUAGUCGUCUGCCCAACUCCCCAAUUCUUCCCCAGUUUGUGAGACACCAGGAUGCCAGUUUUUCAGCGUGUGACGUCCCAGGGUCAAUGAUAUUGCUACCAACACUUCUUGACUACUAUAGUUCAAAAAUCAUUCAUCUCGUUUUUGUUUAUCCAUAAAACAGCUUUGCCCUGCUUCCUUAAAUAAGAUUCCA